GGAUUCCCUUAGUAAGGGCGACUGAACGGGGAAGAGCCCAGCGCAUAACCUCGUGUCUUAACCGGCACGAGGGGUGUUGCGUUUCGGAGGGUCGGCACGUCCGUCCCAUACCGCCUAAGUCAAGCUUGAAAGCGGCCACUACCCAUGGAGGGUGACAGGCCCGUGUGGCGGCNCCCGCGAGGGCAUAGAUGGGGCGGUCGGAAAGGGCCUCUCUGUAGAGUCGGGUUGCUUAAUAAUGCAGCCCAAAGCAGGUGGUAAACUCCAUCUAAGGCUAAAUAUGACC
Molecule: ribosomal RNA, 283 nt
Filed under: Procambarus clarkii (red swamp crayfish)
Lineage: Eukaryota; Metazoa; Arthropoda; Malacostraca; Decapoda; Cambaridae
Description: partial 18S ribosomal RNA
Rfam family: Eukaryotic large subunit ribosomal RNA
Source: RNAcentral